AAAAGCAAGGCUCCCUGUGUUUAGACACCUGACGUGCUUGGGAAGCCACUGCGCCUGACCCGCCAGCACAGUUGUGGGGAAGGCAAGGCUCACGUGUCCUGCAGGCUCGCAAAGGGCGCGCACGCUUUGCCCUGUCCCAGCUGUGUGUCAGAUGGUGGUUGGGAAAGGACCAUGUGUGCAAGGCACACGUGCAAAGGUACAAAGACUAAACCACAAGACGGCGAUCUGCCAGCAAGAGUCACAGAACUGUGGGGCGCGCGGCUGGUCCUGCGGCUGCACCAGCCUGAAGCCCGGCUUGCGCACAGGGUUCAUGCAGCUGAGGCACCAGCUGCAAGGCGCCUGCAGGGAUGUGGCAGAGCUGAGGCUGCUGCACGUCUCUCCUUGGAGCAAGCGUGGCACCCUCACGGGGGGGACCCGGGGCUCUCCGUUCCACCUCUCUGCUCUCUCAACACAAACCUCUUGGAAAAUGAGUGAAAUCACAUAGGCGUUGAAAUCUUACCGUCUCCAAGUUUUAUAUUUAAUAGAGAAGACAGUCCAAUGUUGAGCAUCCACAUUUACAGCUGGUUGUGGUGUUCUAGAACCCCAGCCUGGUCUAACCCUGAAAACCCAGAGCUGGGUCUCUGUCCCCUACCAGAGGCCUAUGGUCACGGCAGUCCUGGGAGCAUCAGGCCGGUAAGGUCCAUGGGGGGGGGGGACCCACGGUGGUGUGAAGGCGGCCAUGUGGGGGGACCCACGGCAGUGUGUAGGCAGCCAUGCCAUUUGUCCGGUGACCACAGUGGGUGUUUUGUGGGUGCUGUGCCUAGAGGAGCCGCGGGGAGUCGAGGGCUGGGAUGGCCCGCAAUUGUGGGACCAGACGGGCACGUACAGGGCAGCCGGGCCGGUACUCACUUCCUCAGAAUGUCUGAAGAGUCCUGGCAAAACCCCACUGGCUCGACAGAAGAAGAAAGGCCUGCCAAUUCGGCACACGUCACUCAUGUGUAAAUUAUGUUUAAAAGCACAACAUCAGAAGGAGAGAGACAGACUCUGUAAAUCGCUGUCUGGUCGACACAGAGCUAAUGCGCUCCCUGGAUGUGAGUGAUUCAGCCAAAUGCGGUGCUUGGCACUUACGGAGUCGAGAACUGAUACGGGGUGGCCUGCUAUCAGUUGGCGUGCAGAUGCACGUUCUCCUCCUCCUCGCCCUCUGUGACGUGUGCUCGCGGUCCCUGGAGGGACAGCAGGGCAGGCACAGAGGGGAGGGCGCAGGACGGCACACUCGGCGGGUGUGAACUCUCAGGAAGCGGCUUCUUGCCCGUCUCACGGAGCUCUGGGAGGAUGGAGGUCAGCCCUCCGAGAGCUCCCGUGUCGUAGGAGGAAGGCGGAUUGGAGGCAACACAGAGUUCCAAAGGAGCAGUGGGGACCACUCUGCUUAGUCGACCAACCACUCACUGUUUAGUAGGUACCAGUCGGACAGAGAAGAAAACACCAUUUCCAGGCUGCUUGGGUCCCCCUACAAGGAGGCCUCCGCAGACCCACGCCUGAUCGCCAUCGGGAUAUGACCGGACCCGUGGGAGCAGCCAGGAGGCUUGGAGGGUGGGCGAGAGAGGUGCAUCCAUACAGGCCCUGAGCAGGGAGCACCGAGGGGUCCCCGAUGCAUCUCAGGGGACCCUCUCAGGAAAGCCAUAAAGCUGACCUGUGAGUAGCAGUCACCAAAUACAACACUUGCCCGCAUCACAUUGCCUAAGACAGGAGUGUAACUGUGGGUCAAGGAUGGGAAAGGAAAUGGGAGGUGACAGAUGGGAAAGACACGGGAGGCGGUGAACAGCGGCAGGGACAGCACGCAGACACACAGCCGGAAGAGCACGGUGGUGCCGGACAGGUGGGCACGUGAGGUCCCGUAGGGCCUCUCCGGGGACAGCCUGUGGUCGCGGGUACUCCCAAAGGCUCGUUAUGGGAUCCGACUCCGAGCAAGAACGUCUUCGAGAACGUCCUCCUCUCCCUGGCCGGUCACAGGAGACCCCGGGCUCAGACUCGUGCUCCUCCUGAGAGCCCCAGGCCUCCGAGUGCCCAUCACGCCAGCUGGCCGAGAACUUCCCGGCAGCGUCUUCCAGCCUCCAGGCUCUUCCUGCUUCUCUGAGAGAGCCCGGGUGGCAGUGAAGGGGUCCGUGAAACGGGCUAGGACCGGGAUGAAGAGGCGACGGAGUGCUCAGAUGCCUUCUGCUUAUCCGGGGCCUGAUCAUCCACAUCCACGAGGGCUCCAUCCCGGAGCCGGCCGAUCUCUACUUGGGACCUGAAAGUGACAAUGACCCUGUUUGUCGACAGAGGACGCUCGUGAGCCCCUUCAGGAUUCAGUACAAGACGGCCCGUCCUGUGGACCCCCAGAACCAAGGCUGUGACGUAACGGUCCCCCGUCUUGGCUGCUGCUAGCGACGCGGCUGGCUGUGCCCGGACGCUGGACACAAAGACUCCAGUGGUCUUCCCUGGUGGUGGUGCCCAGCCACCACGUGGAAACAAAGCUUAAAGCUUGAUUAGUGCGUGCUUGCGUUUCCUUACGUUUCGGCUGCUUUGUAUCUAUAAAUAUGGAGCAAGUUAGCUGCUUAACGGGAAGUAUUCUGAAGUAUGAGCAAGCAGAAAAGUAGUUACAGUCUUAUUACCCAGAUACACCUAUUAACGUUUUGUCCUUUCCUCCUGGGUCUUUGUUACUGUUUUUUAAGCACAGUUGAAAUCACACAGUAGAUACGGUUUUGAAAACUUAAGAAGGCUUAACAUAGCAUAACAAUUUCCUCAUGCAUCAAACAAUUUUGUAAACAAAAUGUAAACACGAUUUUUUAAUGGCAGCAUAAAACUGAAAUAUAAGGAUGAACUACA
Herpailurus yagouaroundi (jaguarundi) is the source of this 2844-nucleotide long non-coding RNA. RefSeq lists it as uncharacterized. The record is from RefSeq and is a predicted model, not a curated record. The transcript has 2 exons. Lineage: Eukaryota; Metazoa; Chordata; Mammalia; Carnivora; Felidae.